AGCUAUGUCGAGACUGGGGGCUAAGACCUAUAGCCGGAAGCCUGAAUGCAGGACAAGUGUUCAGUUUGAUCAUUUGUUGUCAGAAAAAGGAAAUAAGCCAUCCACAGCAAAGGUUUCCGUUGCUGGAAUUCACAGAUGGGGAAUGACAUCUUUUACUUCUAUUCGAAAGGCUCGCAUUAAUGGGCAGAAAGAGGUUAAUGAAAGUCUUGAACCAGUGAAACGGAUUAAAAUUGAUCCCAAACCUACAAUUUCUUGUAGAGAAGAUCCUUUUAGUUUUGAAACUGAUAUUGAAAUUCCCGCUUCUAAGGUUUUACAUUCCUCCAGUUCUGUGCAUUGCAGUAGUACAGAUGCAGAAAUAAAGCCGGUGCCACCAAAACCUAAUAAAUUUUUUAAAAGUGGAAGUUCACGGCUUCUUUCAACAGCGUCAAACUCUCCAAAGAACAGUGAUUUUGAUGCUCUGAGACUGUCAACUCCUUCACAUUUUAAUGCAAUGAAGGGCAAUAAAGAUUCUCAUGAAAUUUUUUUAAAUAUGCAUGCAAACUUUAAAAAUGAGUCGUCCCAUUCUUCUGAAGAACAGCAUUCAGUUUUUCUGACUAAUACUUCUCCUAAUAUUGUGGAUUUACGAUAUUGUACAACUUCACCAAAUGCAUGUGCUUCCAGUAUGUAUUCUAACAAACCUAGUGUGCAUUAUAUCAGUCCAUUUAUCCAGCCGAUAGUGUCAGCUGAUGCUUCAUCACGGGCAUUUGAUGCUCUGAGAACUUUGGACCUUUCUAAUAAACCAUCUAACAUUCAUGUGGUCCACCAGUUAGAUUCGUACAAGCCAACAGAUUAUGUUAUGAAAAAAGAAAAUAUUCUCAGCAUUGCUCAGACAGAAACCUCGUUGACAGGCAAUGACAGAAUGAACAUGAAUCACAAUCAAGUUAUUUCCCAUCCUUCAGAGAAAAAUUUGAUUUCAGUAGAAGAGCAUCUUAAUCUGACUGAUCAAUGCCUAUUCAGUGACUCUCAAAAAGAACUGGCUCUUUCAAAUAUUGUGAAUACACAGAUAUCCAGUGAAUGUGAUCCAAAACCACAAAGUGAUUUAGAAUCUGUCUCUCAGUCUCAAUCCAACUCUGCUACUUUUUCUCAAGAAAGUAAUAUUGUAUCUUCACAGUCUUCUGGAAAAUGUGAAGAUUCCAGUGCUGCUGGUAAACAGCAGUCACGUCCCAAAAAGAUAUUCAGUUCUUCUCUGAAGUUCAAAGCUGUGUAUAAUCAUCGACAUUGGCAUUCAAGCAAGAAAGAAACUAAAGGUUCUGAAACACCAAGUAUUUCUUUAGCUGAUGAAUUUGAAGAAGAAACAACUAAGGAAAACUUCAAUGAUGCUUUAGUAGAAGAAAUUGCUAACACCUCCUAUGGAGAGAGCAGGUCUUUCAAAUGUCCAAAGGAGUCUAAACAGUUUUAUACUGUUGUUAAAAAUGUCAAACAAGCGUACCAGUGUCAUGAGUCAGGCGAAACUCAAGAAUUCAACGAUGACAUUGAGUAUUUGUUGGAAUGUGUUCAAGAAUGCAAUGGCAUAGGGACCAGAUGUCUCAGCGUACUGAACCUUGCUGCCAAAUGUAUGGGACCUGCCUUUCGCAUACACCUACGUGCCCAUGGGACUAUGCCUAAAAUAUUUAGUGCCUUAAAAGAUGCUCCAUCUGAUCCUAAUUUGGCUUUGUGUACAGCAACUUUAAUGUUCGUUCUAAGCCAAGAUCGACUUACUAUGGACAUUGAAGCAAGUACUCUAUCAUUAAUGCUGCAGUUACUGGAGACAGACCCUGAAAUGUUAAAUCCUGAAAAAGAAAUUGAUUUAAUUCUAAAGGAUCCUGCUUUAUGUGCUAUGCAGGAUAAGCAUAGGGAGAAGGUGUAUCAAUUAUGUGAAGAAAUGCAGCAGAAAGGACAUGCCAAACAUUUGAAACUUGAUAAUAUAAAUACGGGUAUAUUAGCUAUGGAGACUUUAUUAAGUCUAACGUCAAGAAAAGCUGGCGAAUGGUUUAAAGAAGAAAUGCGCACACUUCAUGGAUUAGAUAGAAUUGCUGAUACAGUUACAUCUUGCGUUGCUUUACUGGUACCUGAAGAAAAUGAAAUUAUAUUUCAUCCUACAGAAGUGCAGUUAGACAGAAUUCGAAAGAUAGACAGAUGUUUAAGAGUUUUGGAAAAUGUAACACAUAUGAACUCUGAAAAUCAAGAAUAUGUGAUGAACUACAAGGGUUCAUCUUUAAUUGUAUCCUGUCUAAGUUUAAUGAAACUAUGCAAAUCCCACCUUCUCGAACAAAAACCUGUAGAUAUUGACAAAACAACAGAUGAAGUGACUGAGAAAUCUACUAAAAGUGAAUCUCCGAUUUUGUCUUGUCUUUUGAACUUGUUGAAAAUUCUUAGCAAUGUAACAUACAGAAUGCCAUUAGACGAUUCUCAGUUUUCUUCUGGAGAAAGCUUAAUAGAUCAUGUACUUAUUUGUAUUUUACAAGUACCCAGAGCUGUACCACUUGAAAAGCGAUUUGAUCUCCUUGUUUUAUCUUUGGGGCUUAUGAUCAAUUUGCUUGAGUAUUGUGAUGAAAACAGUGUUAAAUUUAUGGAAAUGUAUGCACUUGGUUCGUUUGAUACUGUCAAUGAUGGCUAUGAGAUGUUGGCAUCUGAGGCUCUUGUUGAGUUGAUGCUUUCAAGGCUGGAUGCUGCCAGAGUGUCAGAAGAACAGGCAGAUGAACUUCUAAGUACACAGGAAGAAAAACAUGCAGCAUCAAUUGAAAAGAAAGAUGUUGAAACUGCUGCAGAUGAUUUAGAGGAAACAUUAAUGAAAACUCUUCAGAAAGCUGGGAAACAUAUGGAGCAUAGCAUCAUUGCUGCAUACAUAGCUAUUUUACUUGGAUGUGUAGCACAGAAAAAUCCAGAAUUUAUUGAUGUACUAAAAGAUCAUGUACCUGAUGGGAAAUUUGAUGUGAUGGUAGAUGUUUUAAAAAAGUUUAAGAGCUUUGUCACAUUAACUGGUUCAGUUGGAAGUAGAGAACUGGUAUCCAUCCAAAGGGUGAUUCAUGUUCUGGAAUCCAGCUAACAACACAGAAAAUAAUUUUUAUGUCUUUAUCUCUGGUCACACCCCUGAAAGGACGUCACUCAUGUAGUAUUUCUAUGCUUUUUAUAAACUUUGAUCAGAUUUUAAACAUCAGGUCAUUACUUUGAAAUGAGCAUUAACUGAAUACCCACUCAUCUUUACCAACUUUUGCAUCAGCAAGGUUAUAGUAAUGUGCCCAUUUCUUCAGAGUGAAAGAAACUUAAUGAUAAAAUCACUAUUCUUCUUUUGGAACUUUGACCAAUAUUGUAGUUGCAGUUGAAGUCAUGUUGAGAGAAGCUUGUAUCAUACAAUCUGGCUCGAUCAAGACGACCUGUUUCAAGAGCAGUGUGACCUUAAGCCUUUGUGAAUAAAAUUCUCAUGAGAUUAGACUAAUGUAAAAAAAUCUGUUCUGUCCGUUCUCAUUGUACAUGAGCAUAUUUGUAUAGAAACCAGAUUAAUGUAAAAUAUGCUGGAGGAUAUUAUGUGCCAGCAUUCAUGUGAAGACUGUGCCUAAGCAAAACUUCAGUAACUGAAGUUGGAUUUAGUUUUGUUAAGAUUGUGAAUAACUUGAAGCUGUCCCUAUUUGUUAAUCACAAAGUAAUACCUGCUAGGGCAGAUAAUCUACCUGUCUAUAGGAACUGUUGCACUUUCAUAUAUAUUCCAUUUUUAAUGCUAUCAUUUUUUGAACUAUGCACAUCACCCUUUUAGUUUAAUUGACAAUUUUAUUUAAAGUACAAUGGCAUUUAAAUGCAAAGUUCAAAUGCCAAUCACUUUUCUCUCGUGUGUACGUGUAUAUGUAUGUGUUUUUGAUGAAAUAAAAGAAAGGGGUUUUCACUGCUGUAAUCCAAAGAUAUGCUUUCAUUCAUUUGUACAAAAUACUAUAUUCAUUUAUCUAUCAUGAAAUUUUAUAUUGUGUUAAAACUGUUGACUUGUGAUAUUCAGUUGUAGAAUUAUUAUGUAUUAUCCUAGAAUUAGUCUCAAGAAAAAUUUUACAUGCUUAGAGAUUCUUUGUAUCAUGUUUGAGUUAAAGUAUAUAUGAAUAAUCUGUGACUUGCUCACUGUCAGAAAAUUGUUAAAAUUGUUACAAAUCUAUCAAUUCAUAUUGAAGUUAUGAUCAGUUAAUAUCCUUAGUAAUUUUUACGUGCUUCCUUUCUAAUUAUUGAGGAAGCUCUAAAUUAUUUAAUUUAAUUUUUUGAUAUUUUGUUGUUUUAGUUCAACUAUCACCUUUCAAAUAGUGUUUUUAAUUAAAUGAUAGUAACCAUUUUAUAAUAUUUUUUCAUUGAUCUGUUGUCUUUUUAAAGAAUUUAAAAAAAGAAAUCUUUUUUACAAUUAAUUUCUUUUUUGAAAUUUUUUGAUAUGAUGUUGGAGUAAUGAAAUGUAAUAUUGAAGUAUCAUAUUUACUUGUAUAUUUUUCCUCCUAAAAAGUGCAAGGUUCUGAAAAUUUUUCAAAUAUUCACAUAAUUUCCCCCUUCUUCAAGGCAUUUAUGAAGCAAGAUUCCCUAGAUAUGAAAAGGAUUUGUCCAUGUAGUGGUUAUUUUUGUCUUAUUAAUAAAAGCAAACCCCACAAACUACCUGCAGAGGUCUUGCCAAACCUUCCCCUUUCAACUCGCUAACAUUGGUUACCUAUUAGAAAUCUGGAUAUGAAAGAGUUGAUUGAAAUUGUGUGAACUUAUUGGCCAUCAACUAUAUGAGGGUUUUUCUAAUACUUAAAAAGCCACUGCUGCUGUGGGAUAGUAUCUGCAGGCAUCUCAUGGAAUGUGUUAAAAAAAUAACAGAACAAACACAGUUCCUGUCAUCAUUCCAAGAGGAUUUGCUUCACUUCUGCAAACAAUAGAGAUUGGUGAAUAAACCAUUUAAAGACUGUCUCUAAAAGUUUUAUAACAAGUAAAUUUUGCAGGAUCACAUAAUUUUAUUAGAAUUGGAAAAAUCCAGAGACUUUUCAUUGAAAUCAUUUAAUUAUGGAUAUUGAGUGCUCUGAUUCAUGAAGCAGUACUAGUGAAGAGCUUUAAGAAAAUGGAGAUAUACAAUGCUAUCAAGGGGAUGAUUAUUUUAAAGAUCAUUGCAUAUGAGAAGAUCUGAAUGGGUUACUAAGAUGAUGAAAACGAUCAUAAUGAAGCUAUAGCAAAACAACACAGACAAUAGUUCUAAGAAUGAUAACUGAAUGAUUUGAGGCUAAAAGCAGCAGUGGACAACAAUAAAAGCGAGUAAGAUUCUAGAUACAGAGAACUGGAAUGAAGAUAGCUUAUUAGGUAGUGUAAUGUUGGUAUUAGUAUAUAUUCUUAUUGGAAUAUAGGUUUCUUUUUUGUGAAUAAUAAUGUGAUAGUUACCAGUAGUUUAUUUUUGAAUACUUUUAAUUUAUUAUGUUCUUGCAAUAACCCUGCCUAUCAGAAAAUAAAUUAUUCUCGAUUUUAAUACGAUAAAAUUACUAAAAAAGGGAGGAAAGGUAUGUGAGUAAAUACUGUAUAAAAUGGGGGUAAUAAACUGUAAUAUGGAAAAAUAUACUAUAUCCGGUUGCCAUCUGCAUAUCUGAACUGUAAUUGAAUGUUGCUGUCAUAUAUUUCCCUUAGUGAUCUGUUGGUAAAAAUCAAACAACGUUUGGUAUUUAUGACAAAAAUGAGAAAGUUCAGUACAUUUUAAGAGGAAGUAAUGUAGUCUCUGUUUUGUAGGAAUAAUUUCUUUUCUGUUGUCCUUGAAAAUGCCUUGAGCUUUCUAAUUAAAAAAUCAAGAUCAAAUAAUAUGUUCAGAUUGGACUGCUUCUUUUGCAGUUCACUAACUAAUAUUAUAAAUGUAAUUUAACCAGUUACAAAAUUUAAAAUACCUAAAUCAUAAAUUUGGAGUUAAUGUAAUAAAUAAGUAUGAAAUUUUAUUAUAUAUUUGCAGUACUGUUAAAAAUCAUGAUAGUAUAUUAAUUUUAACUAAGCAUCUUAUUGUAGUAUUUGCAAUUUUUUAGUAAAUUCUGUGUAUUUCAUUUUUUUUUUCUUUUAAUCAUACUUUCAUACUAUUUUUUAUUUAUUAUGUGUGCAUAUUUUGAUUUCCUAAUUUUUAUGUGUUGUACAGUGGUUUUUCAACUGGCAUUUAUGGAGCAUAGUUUUUUUAAACAUUUUAUACUAAUUAUAUAGCCUUCUAAUGCAUAUGAUAAAAAAUUUGCAAAAUUUCAUUUAUUUUUAUAUGUUUGUGCUUUAAAUAACUAAUUUUUUAACUUAAAUAAUCUGGAUUAUGAAUUUUAAAAUGUUUUAAUAAUGUAAGUAGAUAUUUUUAUAUGGUAUAACUGUAUAAAAUUGCAUUUGAAAUUAUUAAAAUGUAAUUAUUGCCUUCUUGUAUUAGUAGAUUUUGUAAAGCAUUUUGUACAUUCAUUCAGUUGUUAGUCAUUUUAAUCAUUAAUGGUUAACAAAUUGGAUACUUAUUGAUAUACAUAAUCACCUCCUCUGCAUAUGCAAUAUAAAAUGCCUUAUAUAUUUUAAAUAUUUAGUUCAUAAAUUACCUGUGUGCUCCUAAUGAGAAUGAGCCAUAAUAUUCAGAACUCAUUUUACAAAGCUGUAGGCUCUCCAAAACCUGUUACGAAAUUAACUUCUAAUUUUUUCACUGUAAUAGAUGUCACUGAUGAUUUUAUGUAAAAAUAUUUCAUAUAAAUUAUUUCAUGAAAUAACUUUAUAAUUCAGUGUUUUUUAUUGAAAGCUAAGAGGAAUUAAGUUAAUUUUCCAGUCUCCUAUGUAAUAAUGUAUUUCAUUUUACAUUACGUGCAACACAUCAUUUCUGAGGUUAGGUUAUUUGAAAGUCGUAAACGUAUAGCAGCUGUCUGCCUAAGGGAAGGGAUAUCUUUGUACAGCACUUUCUAAGUGAAACUGGCUCUCAUUCCUGUUACAUUUAGAGGAAAAAUACAACCAUGCAACCAACCCAUUUGCCUGAAAUCAUACUCCCAGUAUUCAGUGGUCAUAACCACUCUACUGGUGGGGGCCUCGUAACAUUGUUAAAUAGAGCAUCCCAAAUCCUCAGAUUACAGUAUUGAAUAGAAAUGAGCUGUUUAAUGGGAUCAUAUCUUGCUCGCUGAAAUAAAUUGGUUCACUUUGUUUUUGUGACUGACCAAUCACUAACAGUAACCUUGAUGAAAAUAAUCAAGAAUGGUUAGUGAGGAUAGAGUGAAGAGAAGAAAGAUCGAAUGAGCAAUGGGGUUGAGGCCAGUUAGUGAGGUUGGAAUGAAGAGCCAAAAGAAUAGAACAAGCUGCAAGAUUGGAAAUUUGACUCGAUCAAACACUGAUUUUCUUAACUGGUUUCUUAGAGCUGUAGUUUUGAGAUUCCUGAAAACUCCCUUUCUGCACAGAACUAAUAAUAAAAUUCUAGAAUAAAAAUUUUGAAAAAGUUGAAUAAACUCAUUUUUAACAUGGGAAAAUAAAUAUUCUUUUCUCUUCUAAAAUGGGAAACUGGUACACUUUCAAUUUAUUUAGUUCUUUUCAUUCACUUGCUCAGUAAAAUAAAUCAGUUCAUGAACUAACAGCAGAUCUCUAUUUCUAGCUUGCUUUUAACAAGAGCUGUCAAUAAGCUACAACUUUUUAUUUUCUGGAAUCGGGUCCAUAAUGGAAUCGUCCAACUCUAGACUGGAUCAUAAAUACAAAUACAUUUGUAUGAAUUACAAUAAUAUUUAAUUGCUUUUGAAGUGCUUUGAUUUGGAAGCAUAAUUUCUCUUUUCCACCCCUUGAAACUGUACCUGAUAAAACAAUUGCAUUUUUUCUUUGCCAUAUUAUAUCUUCAAAUUUAGUCUAAAAUAUUGAAUCUUUUAUUUGUCCAAGAGAGAACACUGUGUGCUAUAAUGUAUAAUGCAAUGUAUAGACACUUUAUUUAAUGUUGGGUAUAUCUUAUCACACAAUUUAUCAGUUAUAUUUUGUCACAUUUCUAUGUGUUAACAAAUAGUGUUUAGUGUUAUCAAUGACUCAUGCUGAGACCCAUGAUUUGAAGGGUUAAUACUACGUAUUCUGUUAUGCACUUAUUUUUAGUACCAUCCUUUAUGGUUAAGAUAUAAAAGCUUUAAUUUGCAGGGUCUUUUAUGUUUCUCUAUUCAAUUAAAUUUUUUUAUGUGUAACUAAAAUAUUAUGGAAAAGAAGUUUAAUUGUAGUUUAAGAAUAAUUUCUUGUUAUUAAUACACUACAGAAUUUUCACGAGAUUUCCUGAGGUAAUAUGUUGCUUGAAAAGCAUUUAUCCACUGUGUAAUCUCCGAUUUCUUACGUGUGUUUGUAGAGUCAUUAGGUUAAUUGGAAGCAGAAAAAAUGAAAAAUACGCUAAUGCCUUCGCCGGGAAUCGAACCACGGACCUCUGGAAUACCAGCCCAGCAUGCUACCAUUACACCACGAAGGCACGCGAGAGAAGUGGGAGAAAUACUUUAUAUACUCCCCUUUUUAAAGGGUGACUAAGGUUUUAGGGGUCCUAGUCGCGAAAUCCUGGAUGCGGAGAAUCAUCAUCCACAACCCUUUUUAGUUCGGGUGCCACUUGUAGAGUCAUUAGGUUAAUUGGAAGCAGAAUAGAUGAUAGAUAUGCAACUGCCUUCGCUGGGAAUCGAACCACGGACCUCUGCAAUACCGGCCCAGCGUGCUACCGUUACACCACGAAGGCACGCUAGGGAAGUGGGAGAAAUACCUUAUAUGUUCAUCUUAUGAUCUCAUUUUAGGUCUAACAUUUUUUUUUUUUCUUUUUUAACAUCAGUGUGACAUAAAUUAUUUCUUUAGUAUUUUUCUUUCGUAAUUAGAGUAAUAAAUAAUACUAAAAAUGUAUAAAAUUUUGAUACAAUUUAUUAAACAUUAAUAGCACUAAAUUUAAUGCUAAAAAAUGCAAUAUCAUUCAUAAACUUCGUGAAACACAGAACAUCUAGAGCACAAAUGGUGAGUAAUCUCAAAACGAGAUAUUUGUAUUUUACUUUUUCAAAGUUAGAGGAAGUUUUUUCUCUCAAACUGUAUUCUAUCAAUUCUUUUAGCAUUUAAUUAAAAAAAAAAAUUUCAUCCAUCCUUUAAAACAAACCAUUUAAAUUUAACAUUGUUGUGAUAUAUAAACAUUGAUGAAAAAUUUGCAUUUCCUGACAUUUUCAUAAGAAUGUUACCGAAGAAGAAAAAAAGUGUACUUAUAGAUGAGAAACUUGGAUAUCAUAUAAAGUUGGAAAGAGUAUGAAGCCAUGAACACGACUGACAAAAAUAUAAUGACGUUUCACAGUGAUAGUUUUGAAAUAAAUAUAGGGUGAUUCUUUAGUUACUAAACAAAAUGCUGUUAUUCAGUAAGUUAUGAAAUGUAUAUGUACAAAAUCCGUGUCAAAGGAAUGUGAGACAUUGGAAGAAGAUAAGGGAAAGCCAUGAUGUUAUUACAAAAAAAGACACUGUUGGAGCCAUCUCAUGCAUGCAUAUUCGCACUAAAAAAUGGAAAAAGAAUGCCAUAAAGUGUCAUGGUUGGCUGUGUCUAGAGAGUUGUGUUUAAUAUAUCCAGCAUCUUUAGUACUAAUGUGUUUCUCAUUACGUAAGAUACGUAUGUUUAAUAUUUAAUGAAUAAUUUCUUGGGUCUAGUACCAAAAAAAAUCACCCUAUAUAAUUCAUAACUACAUUUAUAGCUACUAAGUUUCCAUGUGUUUUAAAUGGCAUUAAAACUUUUUUUUUCCUUUUAGAAAUAAUUGGUUUACUGAUAAAUUUUAAUUAUAUCUUAAAUUUCAAUGUAUGUAUCAAAAAUCUAAUCUGAAUUUUUAUAUAUUGUUGCUUUUUUAUUCUGUGCCUGAAUAUAAGAUUAGAAAUCUGCAUUCCAAAGUUUUGGUGCUAAACUUUAUUAGUAAGUAAAACCAUGUAUUUGUUUACUGAAUUCAUUCAUCAAGAAAUCUGAAAUUAAUCCAAAAUGAUUAUAAAAGCUAAAGAUGCAUUAUUAAGUGAAUAUUUUUUUUAACCAAUGUUAACAUGAGGUGUAAACAGUUUAUUUGCAAAAUGAGAAUAUUACUAAGCAAUGAUGUAAAAUAGUUUUUUUGAUACAUGAAAGUUAUUGUGAAACAUACUGUAAAUGGCUUCAUGUAUGUUAUCUAUAUUUUUUCAAUAAAACAGCGAAACUCCAGUUAUUUAAUAAAUUUUAUUUCCUAUAUUUUUGUGAAUUAUAAAAGACAGUAAUUAAAAAAAUAAAUUCAGUCUGUUAAUUGUGGUAUGAAUACUGAGAUAAAAUGCAAUUUCAUAAGAAAAUAUAAAAUGCCAGUUGGUAAUUAAUGGAAUUCUUUGUGACUGCGCUUUUUUUAUAUGUGAUAUAGUGCAAAUAUAUUAUGAUAUGUAAUUCUUAGCAAAUAUUUAUUUAGUUUUCAUCACAUUUUUCUCAUUAUUAAAUUACAAAAGAUAAUUUAAUAUUGCUGAGACUUUAUAUGUGUGUUUAAUUUCUUUAUGUCCAUCACUUUUGUAAUAUGUUUUCCUGGAUAUUUUGUUUAAUGCAAAUUUAUGUAUUUCUUAUUUUCUAUUUAAGUGUGGAGAGAUAUGAAGUAUUAUAAUGGAUAAUGCAAAUUUGAAUGGUAGAAUAAUACAAAAUGAAUGUUCAUAAUUUAUGUACAAAAUGCAGAUUUUCCCCUUCCGAUUUGUGAAGGAUAUGAUUGAAUUUGAUUUUACUUUUGUUAGAGAUUGCUCAUUUUUGUCCAUGUUAUGACUGGACAAAUUUAUCCAGUCUGCAGAGUUAUUUAUCCAGCAUAGUGUGUAUAUAUUUAUUCAUUGGAUGAGUUUGAAUGUUGUAUAUUUGCAUGAAAAGUUAAUACAGCAUAUUAUGACCCCAUAAAAUGUGAAAAAAAAUGUGAUUUAUAGAAAGUUUUUAUUUUAAGAGUAUUGUUUUGAUAUGGUAAUGAAACAAGAAAAAUAUUGCUAACACUGUUUUUAUAAAUUGAAUGAAAAUUCAGUAUAACCAUUCUUUUACUUUUUUAGCAUUAUGCAGAUGUACCCUAGAUAUUUUAGUAUCCUUGCCAAUUUUUUUUAUUUUAUUCAAAAUUAGCAGUGUAUGAAAUUUUAAAUAAAGUUAAUAUUUAUAAAAAUAA
Molecule: unclassified non-coding RNA, 11075 nt
Filed under: Stegodyphus dumicola
Lineage: Eukaryota; Metazoa; Arthropoda; Arachnida; Araneae; Eresidae
Description: wings apart-like protein homolog, transcript variant X1
Source: RNAcentral